Molecule: small RNA, 376 nt
Filed under: Histoplasma ohiense
Lineage: Eukaryota; Fungi; Ascomycota; Eurotiomycetes; Onygenales; Ajellomycetaceae
Description: hypothetical lncRNA
Source: RNAcentral
CUUGCAGUUUUUAAAUGCAACCUCUCACAUGCAGAGGGGCACAUCUUCUAUUGCUUUGAGGCAGUGAACACAGCUCCUCAGCUUCAGACUGUGAGUGUACUGCUUCUCUUUCAGUUGCUCAUUGAUCUCUUCACGCAGUUCCAUGGAUACAUCCCCUGUGAGAAUUUUUUCCAUCACAGAACCAGCUGCGACGUUCUCCUCAGUGACAAAAUUCUGGAGUUGUAAGAAACCCACACUAAGUUACCAGUGCUAAGCCGAAAUUGGCGAUUGCUCUAAAGAUAUGACAUCGCCGAACAUAGCACCAUCAAUGUCAUAUCAGGUUUGAAAUCAAGGCAUUAUCUUGCCACUUGCAUCAUACUAUGCCAUCUACAUCAUA